Harpia harpyja (harpy eagle) is the source of this 1758-nucleotide long non-coding RNA. RefSeq lists it as uncharacterized. NCBI's taxonomy places the organism in Eukaryota, Metazoa, Chordata, Aves, Accipitriformes, Accipitridae. The record is from RefSeq and is a predicted model, not a curated record. The transcript is spliced from 2 exons.
UUUCAUCACUUCCCAGAAAGAAAAUCUGAUUAAGUAGCCUUGAUGAAGAAUAAAAUUACAGUCUAGUUUUUACAAAAACUUUAUUUUUUUUGAAGCAAAGGAUUUCUCCCUUUCUGCCUCCCUCUCUCCUGAUAUUUAAAUGUUUCUGACAUGUCUUGUCAGAAAGAACAAGAGUGUGGGGUUUUUCUUAAAUGACAAGUAUAUCUGCCGUGCUUCUAAAAUGUACACAGCUAGAUCAUGCUUAUAGACUUCGGUAAGAAUUUAAUUUGCAUCACUCCAGGAAUAACUUCUGACUAAGCUGUGCUGCUCCAAAAGGGAGCAGAGUGGAUCACAGUAAUCUGCUGUGCUCUUUGAAAUGCUGUGAAGUAGACUGAAACUAUUGUGUAUUUGUGUAAUUCUGUGUGGAGAAAGAGGGGACAGCAUGCUCUCUGCAGCCAGGGCUGUGCAGUGACUUCUAGUCGAUGGGCAUGACAAAGAUGUAUAAUCAUUCUUCAACUUUGCAUUAGUAGAUUUUAGCUGUUUGCUGAAGUUCCUGAACUGCUUGAAUUUUUCAAAUAAGUUUUUGACUAGGAGCAAGAGGAGGGUUCAAAAUUAGUUACAUACUUUAAAUCACUGCACAGGUAUAACUUUUCUGACCACCAGUAUGAUGCUGAGGUGUAAAACUUGAGUGAUUUCUUGGUGUGGUGGCUAGAAGCUAUGAAGUACUUUGAUGCUAUUUAAGAUGUGGUUUUGAGCACCAAAGUUUGGCCAGAUGUUCAUGCAGGAAAUGCAAAAAGUGUAGUUGUAAUUUGAACUAAAAAUUGUGCCAGUAUAGAAAUUGACCAUUAAUUCUUCUUGGCAUUCUUUUUAGCCAUUGAACUAAUAAAGCAAAUUUUUAGACUUGGCCUUUAGAACCAGGUGGUGUCUAGAAAUAGGAGUUAUGGGACCAGCUGAUGUUUACUCUGCUGAAACUUACUCACUUUGCUCCAAGAGGAUUGUCCUAUGGUGAAAAGGUUUUCAGUACAACAUAUAGAGGGAUACAGAGUAUCUAACCUCAAAGUAAAAUUCUGUGUUUAUCUUCAAAUUGUAGGGUAUGAUGAGAUUGUCAGGAGGCUAAAAGACCUGAUAGAUAAUGUAUACGUGUCCCUAAUUUUUUAGCAGUUGGUGAAAGAAUGCUGUCUUCAGCACUUUCAUUAAGUGUGAAGUAGAAGGGUAACAGUGUAAAGUUGGGGGAAAACAGCCUCUUACAGGUGUAACAGUUUCUACUGAGUAUUGAGACAGCAGGUUUUCUGUUUGCAAUAUGGACCCAAAUUGGAUCCUCCUCCUCGUGCAAACAGCAGCUCCACAAUUUCAAGCCCCUUUGUGAAGCAGUAAUUUACCUUUCCAGUAGAUUAUGAGCCCUUAGCCCUGCAGAAGCUUGUCUAAGAAUCUUUGAUUGAAUACCGUUUCACCAAGUAACUAGAUUUUAAAGUUCAAUGAGCAACUUUGGCAAUAAUUGGAUUCAGAACAUUCAUACCCAAUACCUUUUUAUGUGGUCAGAGUUUAUUUGUUAUAAGUAAGGAAAGCAUCAAUGUAUAUAGCAAAACAUUAUUUUGAUAGCAGUGCACCUGUUUGAUUACUUUGUGUAGAAUAGGGUUGCAAGCAUUAGCCUAGAGAUUGGCUCUUACUCCUUGUUUGAAGGGUAAAACCUAAUCUGACUUUUCAGGGACAUGUUGUGUAUUAUAGGCAGUUCCACAUUAUAAACAUUUGAAGCUAAAGUGGAAGGGGUAUGUGUGUUAA